UCAUGUCAUAAAACUGGCCGGUUACUAAAAAUAACAAUUUAAAACCUAAAGAACUUGGCGGUGUCUUAUCAUACCAGGGGAACCUGUUCCUUAAUUCGAUAAUCCACGAAACCACUACCACUAAUUGAAUAUACAGCUUGUAUACUGCCGUCAUCAGCAUACCUUAAAAAGAUAUAGUAUGCAAUAAUAAUAAUAAAUUAAUUAUGUCAGGUCAUAGUACAGCCUAUUUAGUGGAGGAAAUGGGUUACAAUCAUUUAUCUAGAUACCAAAAAUAAAACAAAAGUUUUAUCAAAAGGUGGACUUGGCAGUAAUGAUCGUAUAGAAUACAAUCAUGAAAAAAGAUCUAAGACAUGCACACAUCGCCCGUCACUCCCCUCUAAAGAGG
Molecule: ribosomal RNA, 385 nt
Filed under: Ripistes parasita
Lineage: Eukaryota; Metazoa; Annelida; Clitellata; Tubificida; Naididae
Description: partial 12S ribosomal RNA
Source: RNAcentral